GAUGAACGCUGGCGGCGUGCUUAACACAUGCGAGUCGAACGGAAAGGCUCCUGCUUGCAGGGGUACUCGAGUGGCGAACGGGUGAGUAACACGUGGGUGAUCUGCCCUGCACUUCGGGAUAAGCCUGGGAAACUGGGUCUAAUACCGGAUAGGACGAUGGUUUGGAUGCCAUUGUGGAAAGUUUUUUCGGUGUGGGAUGAGCUCGCGGCCUAUCAGCUUGUUGGUGGGGUAAUGGCCUACCAAGGCGUCGACGGGUAGCCGGCCUGAGAGGGUGUACGGCCACAUUGGGACUGAGAUACGGCCCAGACUCCUACGGGAGGCAGCAGUGGGGAAUAUUGCACAAUGGGCGCAAGCCUGAUGCAGCGACGCCGCGUGGGGGAUGACGGCCUUCGGGCUGUAAACUCCUUUCGCUAGGGACGAAGCGCAAGUGACGGUACCUGGAGAAGAAGCACCGGCUAACUACGUG
This 466-nucleotide ribosomal RNA is filed under the name uncultured bacterium. RNAcentral describes it as "partial 16S ribosomal RNA". It matches the Rfam family "Bacterial small subunit ribosomal RNA", at positions 28 to 507 of the family's 1533-position model. The record is from RNAcentral.